This 427-nucleotide ribosomal RNA is filed under the name uncultured bacterium. Its description in RNAcentral is "partial 16S ribosomal RNA". It matches the Rfam family "Bacterial small subunit ribosomal RNA", at positions 355 to 774 of the family's 1533-position model. The record is from RNAcentral.
UGGGGAAUAUUGCACAAUGGGCGCAAGCCUGAUGCAGCCAUGCCGCGUGUAUGAAGAAGGCCUUCGGGUUGUAAAGUACUUUCAGCGAGGAGGAAGGCGUUGUGGUUAAUAACCGCAACGAUUGACGUUACUCGCAGAAGAAGCACCGGCUAACUCCGUGCCAGCAGCCGCGGUAAUACGGAGGGUGCAAGCGUUAAUCGGAAUUACUGGGCGUAAAGCGCACGCAGGCGGUCUGUCAAGUCGGAUGUGAAAUCCCCGGGCUCAACCUGGGAACUGCAUUCGAAACUGGCAGGCUAGAGUCUUGUAGAGGGGGGUAGAAUUCCAGGUGUAGCGGUGAAAUGCGUAGAGAUCUGGAGGAAUACCGGUGGCGAAGGCGGCCCCCUGGACUAAUACUGACACUGAGGUGCGAAAGCGUGGGGAGCAAACA